AACCAUUCUCACCUGCGGCUAGACCUGCGGAGGGAUCAUUAAAAGAACUUGUGCCCGAGACAUUCAUGUCCAAGGCCCCACACUGUGUGCACCGUUUACCGUUCUUUUUGGCAGGGGCUUUGGGUUUCUUUUCCUUCUCCUUGAAGGGGGGAAGAGGAAUUCGAACUUCUCCUUCGGCUCUAUCCUCUCCUCUCAUUCUUUGGGUGGGUUGGGAGAGGACAGUUGGACAUGGGAAGCAGU
RNAcentral lists this unclassified non-coding RNA (240 nucleotides) under soil metagenome. RNAcentral's name for it is "partial contains 5.8S ribosomal RNA, internal transcribed spacer 2, and large subunit ribosomal RNA". The record is from RNAcentral.